Molecule: unclassified non-coding RNA, 1880 nt
Filed under: uncultured fungus
Lineage: Eukaryota; Fungi
Description: sequence contains 18S rRNA gene, ITS1, 5.8S rRNA gene, ITS2, 28S rRNA gene
Rfam family: Eukaryotic large subunit ribosomal RNA (bases 763-1880)
Source: RNAcentral
GGAAGGAUCAUUAGCAAUAACAAUAAGCCUAGGUUAAUCCUAGGUUUAUUAACCAACCGUGAACUAUUCUUUGGGUUCUUUGUGGGAGAUCUGUCUUAUUGUUUGCUAUAUGCUCUCCAUCGCUUUUGCUGCUUGCAGUAGAGAGUGGUUUGCUCAUAUAUCAAAUAAUAGGAGUUGUGGGGAUUUCGGUCUCUACCUGAUCUAUUUUUUUAAUAACCGUUUUACUAUUCUUCCAAUUAAAACCUGCCCUCGCUAGUGUUGUAUUCUCCUUGUGGGAAGCCAACAUGGGCGGCGUAGGUACUUUGAAUUAAUACAACUCUUAGCAACGGAUAUCUCGGUUCUCGCAUCGAUGAAGAACGCAGCGAAAUGCGAUACGCAAUGCGAAUUGCAGAAUUCAGUGAAUCAUCAGAUCUUUGAACGCAAAUGGCGGUUUAGGGAUAUGCCUUAAACCACGUUUCUCUGACUAUCGGUUUUCACCACAUCUACACUUUCUUGUGUAGGAUUUAUGGGAUGUCUCGUUCGCAACGAGUCUCCUUAAGUUUGAAGGUGGAACUGCUGUAUACAGCAUGUGUCACUCCUUUAAGCAACGUCACGAUAACUACUUGCUGUGAGGGUCGUCCCAGUACUUGUACUGGCUGGAACCUUGCGUAAGUACUAUCAUGGCGGAGCGCUUAUUGUUGAGUAAUAUAUGUUUGUUAUAGUAGGAAAGCCUAAAGAGGAAAACUGCCUUUUUUUGUCGCAAGACAAAAGAAGCCGAUAACUUGAUGUCAGAUGAAGCGAGACUACCCGCUGAACUUAAGCAUAUUAUUAAGCGGAGGAAAAGAAACUAACAAGGAUUCCCCUAGUAACGGCGAGUGAAGCGGGAACAGCUCAAAGUUAAAAUCGGCUAUCCUAACGGGUGGUCGAGUUGUAAUCUAAAGACCUAUUGUCAGUGGUGACCCGGGUAUAACUCCUUUGGAAUAGGGGAUCAGAGAGGGUGAGAAUCCCGUCUUUGACUCGGAGUUCGCUGCGUACGACAUAGGUUCAAAGAGUCGAGUAGGUCGGGAUUCCUGCUCGAAAUGGGAGGUAAAUUUCUUCUAAAGCUAAAUAUGGGCGAGAGACCGAUAGCGAACAAGUACCGUGAGGGAAAGAUGAAAAGAACUUUGAAAAGAGAGUUAAAAAGUACUUGAAAUUGCUAAGAGGGAAGCGCUGAAAACCAGUCUUUCCUGAGGCUAUUUUUACUUAUUCUCUUUCGUGGGUUGUGUCGUAGAGGUACGCAAGUCUUCUUGAUACGAACUGCGACGGAGAAUGAGGUCGUAGUCUUGGGUGUGUCUAGAUCGGUUUGGCGGGGUGGAAAAAGCUGGCAGAAAGGUGGUGCAACUGGGAAACCGGGGGCACUCAAGGUCUGUUAGUCCUACACCUGGCUAGACCGAGGAACAACGACAAUCCACACUUCCUGGCCUGGGGUCGGCUCGAGAACCGGAAAGCAAAGCUUUGCGGCCUUGGGCUUAUUCUAUCGCUGGGGUCAAGUGAUUCUUGUCGUAGUGAUCUUGACGAAAUGGUUUUCAUCGACCCGUCUUGAAACACGGACCAAGGAGUCUAACAUAUAUGCGAGUAUUUGGGUGGAAAACCCUGAUGCGUAAUGAAAGUGAAGGCGGCUUGCCGCUGAGGUAGGAACCGGUCCUUCGGGGCUGGGGCACUAUCGACCGACCAAGCGCUUGCGUGAGGUUUGAGUAAGAGCAUAUCUGUUGGGACCCGAAAGAUGGUGAUCUAUGCCUGAACAGGGCGAAGCCAGGGGAAACUCUGGUGGAGGCUCGUAGCGAUACUGACGUGCAAAUCGUUCGUCUGAUUUGGGUAUAGGGGCGAAAGACUAAUCGAACCAUCUAGUAGCUGGUUCCCUC